RNAcentral lists this ribosomal RNA (486 nucleotides) under uncultured bacterium. Its description in RNAcentral is "partial 16S ribosomal RNA". It matches the Rfam family "Bacterial small subunit ribosomal RNA", at positions 31 to 507 of the family's 1533-position model. The record is from RNAcentral.
AUGGAACGCUGGCGGCCUUCCUUACACAUGCAAGUCGAACGGCAGCACGGGUGCUUGCACCUGGUGGCGAGUGGCGAACGGGUGAGUAAUACAUCGGAACAUGUCCUGUAGUGGGGGAUAGCCCGGCGAAAGCCGGAUUAAUACCGCAUACGAUCUACGGAUGAAAGCGGGGGACCUUCGGGCCUCGCGCUAUAGGGUUGGCCGAUGGCUGAUUAGCUAGUUGGUGGGGUAAAGGCCUACCAAGGCGACGAUCAGUAGCUGGUCUGAGAGGACGACCAGCCACACUGGGACUGAGACACGGCCCAGACUCCUACGGGAGGCAGCAGUGGGGAAUUUUGGACAAUGGGCGAAAGCCUGAUCCAGCAAUGCCGCGUGUGUGAAGAAGGCCUUCGGGUUGUAAAGCACUUUUGUCCGGAAAGAAAUCCUUGGCCCUAAUACGGUCGGGGGAUGACGGUACCGGAAGAAUAAGCACCGGCUAACUACGUG